Molecule: ribosomal RNA, 710 nt
Filed under: uncultured Serratia sp.
Lineage: Bacteria; Pseudomonadati; Pseudomonadota; Gammaproteobacteria; Enterobacterales; Yersiniaceae
Description: bacterial SSU rRNA
Rfam family: Bacterial small subunit ribosomal RNA
Source: RNAcentral
GCGAACGGGAUUAGAUACCCUGGUAGUCCACGCUGUAAACGAUGUCGAUUUGGAGGUUGUGCCCUUGAGGCGUGGCUUCCGGAGCUAACGCGUUAAAUCGACCGCCUGGGGAGUACGGCCGCAAGGUUAAAACUCAAAUGAAUUGACGGGGGCCCGCACAAGCGGUGGAGCAUGUGGUUUAAUUCGAUGCAACGCGAAGAACCUUACCUACUCUUGACAUCCAGAGAACUUUCCAGAGAUGGAUUGGUGCCUUCGGGAACUCUGAGACAGGUGCUGCAUGGCUGUCGUCAGCUCGUGUUGUGAAAUGUUGGGUUAAGUCCCGCAACGAGCGCAACCCUUAUCCUUUGUUGCCAGCGGUUCGGCCGGGAACUCAAAGGAGACUGCCAGUGAUAAACUGGAGGAAGGUGGGGAUGACGUCAAGUCAUCAUGGCCCUUACGAGUAGGGCUACACACGUGCUACAAUGGCAUAUACAAAGAGAAGCGACCUCGCGAGAGCAAGCGGACCUCAUAAAGUAUGUCGUAGUCCGGAUUGGAGUCUGCAACUCGACUCCAUGAAGUCGGAAUCGCUAGUAAUCGUAGAUCAGAAUGCUACGGUGAAUACGUUCCCGGGCCUUGUACACACCGCCCGUCACACCAUGGGAGUGGGUUGCAAAAGAAGUAGGUAGCUUAACCUUCGGGAGGGCGCUUACCACUUUGUGAUUCAUGACUGG